AGGAUAUGCUCGCUGGAAGCUAAGACCAU
RNAcentral lists this non-coding RNA (29 nucleotides) under Cricetulus griseus (Chinese hamster). Lineage: Eukaryota; Metazoa; Chordata; Mammalia; Rodentia; Cricetidae. The record is from RNAcentral.